CCCCCCCCAAACCGACUCAGGUGGUCAGGUAGAGAAUACUAAGGAGAUCGAGAGAAUCGUGGUUAAGGAACUCGGCAAAAUGCCCCCGUAACUUCGGGAGAAGGGGGGCCACCCGCUUAUACGGACUUGCUCCGGAAAGGGUGUGGUGGCCGCAGAGACUAGUGGGUAGCGACUGUUUACUAAAAACACAGGUCCGUGCCAAGUCGCAAGACGAUGUAUACGGACUGACGCCUGCCCGGUGCUGGAAGGUUAAGAGGACCGGUUAGCCGCAAGGCGAAGCUGAGAAUUUAAGCCCCAGUAAACGGCGGUGGUAACUAUAACCAUCCUAAGGUAGCGAAAUUCCUUGUCGGGUAAGUUCCGACCUGCACGAAUGGCGUAACGACUUCCCAACUGUCUCAACCGCGAACUCGGCGAAAUUGCAUUACGAGUAAAGAUGCUCGUUACGCGCAGCAGGACGGAAAGACCCCGUGACCUUUACUAUAGCUUUGUAUUGGUGUUCGGUGUGGCUUGUGUAGGAUAGGUGGGAGACUUUGAAGCGUGGACGCCAGUUCAUGUGGAGUCAUUGUUGAAAUACCACUCUGGUCACUCUGGAUAUCUAACUUCGAACCGUGAUCCGGUUCAGGGACAGUGCAUGGUGGGUAGUUUAACUGGGGCGGUUGCCUCCCAAAAAGUAACGGAGGCGCCCAAAGGUUCCCUCAACCUGGUUGGCAAUCAGGUGUCGAGUGUAAGUGCACAAGGGAGCUUGACUGUGAGACUGACAGGUCGAGCAGGGACGAAAGUCGGGACUAGUGAUCCGGCAGUGGCUUGUGGAAGCGCUGUCGCUUAACGGAUAAAAGGUACCUCGGGGAUAACAGGCUGAUCUUGCCCAAGAGUCCAUAUCGACGGCAUGGUUUGGCACCUCGAUGUCGGCUCGUCGCAUCCUGGGGCUGGAGUAGGUCCCAAGGGUUGGGCUGUUCGCCCAUUAAAGCGGUACGCGAGCUGGGUUUAGAACGUCGUGAGACAGUUCGGUCCCUAUCCGCUGCGCGCGUAGGAAGUUUGAGAGGAUCUGACCCUAGUACGAGAGGACCGGGUUGGACGAACCUCUGGUGUGCCAGUUGUUCCGCCAGGAGCACCGCUGGUUAGCUACGUUCGGGAUGGAUAACCGCUGAAAGCAUCUAAGCGGGAAGCCGGCCUCAAGAUGAGACUUCCAUACCUUCGGGUGAGAGGCUCCCAGCCAGACUACUGGGUUGAUAGGCCAGAUGUGUAAGCACGGCAACGUGUGCAGCUGACUGGUACUAAUAAGCCGAUGACUUG
Molecule: ribosomal RNA, 1293 nt
Filed under: metagenome
Description: bacterial LSU rRNA
Rfam family: Bacterial large subunit ribosomal RNA
Source: RNAcentral